Oncorhynchus keta (chum salmon) is the source of this 1514-nucleotide long non-coding RNA. RefSeq lists it as uncharacterized. The transcript is spliced from 3 exons. Lineage: Eukaryota; Metazoa; Chordata; Actinopteri; Salmoniformes; Salmonidae. The record is from RefSeq and is a predicted model, not a curated record.
CCUAACUGCUCACAGUGGAAACCACACAGGCCCAGUAAUCAGAGGUAGAAGGAUGAAGUGGGUGUUCUAGUUAGGGUUGUCUGUGUUUCUUCUACCAUUACUUACUGUAGGUGGCCUGAGCCUUCUGGGUAACACUACCAUUACUUACUGUAGGUGGGCCGAGCCUUCUGGGUAACACUACCAUUACUUCCUGUAGGUGGGCCGAGCCUUCUGGGUAACACUACCAUUACUUCCUGUAGGUGGGCCGAGCCUUCUGGGUAACACUACCAUUACUUCCUGUAGGUGGGCCGAGCCUUCUGGGUAACACUACCAUUACUUCCUGUAGGUGGGCCGAGCCUUCUGGGUAACACUACCAUUACUUCCUGUAGGUGGGCCGAGCCUUCUGGGUAACACUACCAUUACUUCCUGUAGGUGGACCGAGCCUUCUGGGUAACACCACUAUUUAGUGUAUUUACUAUUGAUGGGGCACUAAGAAUACCUUGCAUGUAACUACUGUAGGCUGUAUGUUUGGACUAACCUCAUUUCUAUACAUUUUUAACAUUUUCAAAACAUUUCAUUUCCAAUCUUGAACAUACCCCAUAUAAACUAAUAUCACACUAGCUGGUACACCAUCCAUCUUCCAAGGCUAAUAAAAAGGCCCUUGUCAGAGUGCGUAGCUGUAAAACCAACAGUCGCUCUGAUUCAAUUCGCCAUCUCUCUGACUCGCCUUCCCUCUUCUCCGAGGCCUUCCUGAGAGGGGGGCGACAUGCGGGGCGCGUAAACCUGUCACAUUUACAUGGCAGUGAGCGUCGCACGGGGACCACUGCUCGCUUUAUGACUUUACAGACACGGCUACAGACGCCACAGUGACACACAACACAAAUAGUGUCUGGUCGCCCUGUCCCUGACCCCGGCCUGAAGAUACAGCUUCUAUCCCCCUGACAGACACUAGGAGUUUACAUUUGUGUUCUUGUUGGGUUGUACAGAGCCCCAGAGGAGUCCCUAAAUUGUAUUUUUAGCACUGCUUUCUCUCAUCUUCGUUGUACCUGGGAAGACUGUAGUAGUAUACUGUAGUAGCAUUCUGGGCUGUAGUAGUAUACUGUAGUAGCAUUCUGGGCUGUAGUAGUAUACUGUAGUAGCAUUCUGGGCUGUAGUAGUAUACUGUAGUAGCAUUCUGGGCUGUAGUAGUAUACUGUAGUAGCAUUCUGGGCUGUAGUAGUAUACUGUAGUAGCAUUCUGGGCUGUAGUAGUAUACUGUAGUAGCAUUCUGGGCUGCAGGAAUAUUCUCUGCUGCACUACUAUUAUUCUCUGCUGCACUACUGGUAUUCUCUGCUGCACUACUGGUAUUCUCUGCUGCACUACUGGUAUUCUCUGCUGCACUACUAUUAUUCUCUGCUGCACUACUAGUAUUCUCUGCUGCACUACUGGUAUUCUCUGCUGCACUACUGGUAUUCUCUGCUGCACUACUGGUAUUCUCUGCUGCACUACUGGUAUUCUCUGCUGCACUACUGGUAUUCUCUGCUGCACUACUAGUA